Long non-coding RNA from Papaver somniferum (opium poppy), 658 nucleotides. RefSeq lists it as uncharacterized. NCBI's taxonomy places the organism in Eukaryota, Viridiplantae, Streptophyta, Magnoliopsida, Ranunculales, Papaveraceae. The transcript has 3 exons. The record is from RefSeq and is a predicted model, not a curated record.
UAUCAGUCAACCUUAUCUCUUUUUCAUUCUCCUCCGCCUCUUACUCUCUCCAUUUUCUCUGUGAACAUGUAACUCUAACCUAUUAUAUGUGUUUUGUGUCUAUCUUACAUCUUCUAAUGUUUCUGCAAUAAAUCGAAACACGAUCUGAUCGAAGAAGAAGAAAUUUUGUUUUUCUAUUUCUGUUUAUACUUACUCGGAACAACAGCUAAGUGAAUCUAUGAACUGAUUUCAGUUUCAAUUGUUUUUUGUUUGAUCGAUUAUGAGUUACUUUUGAUGACAUAUUUCUAAUCUUGUUUUUCUGUGUGAUUUAUUAGGUUUUUUCGAAGGAGAACGAGUAGAGGAGAAACCCUAAAUUUAUCAGCAAGAAGAGAAGAAAUCCUAGCCUCUAUUUUGGAACCAAAGUGAGUUCUUCUUCGGUUUUCUUGGUGAAGUCAAUCUUUCAACUCAGGUUGUUGUGAAGGUUAUAUAUAAAUCUGAAGGAGGAGUAUAGAUCUUCUGAGUAGUAUUUUUUUUGGGGGUUUGCCGAAUCAUUAAGAUGAAGCUAUAGAAUGUUGGACUCAUAGAUCUAAAUAACUACGGCAAGCAGAAGUUUUAAGGAUCAACAAACUUUAAAAUGGAGGAAAACUAUGGAGCUAAGGUGGGGGGCAUGUGUGGACUG